This 484-nucleotide ribosomal RNA is filed under the name uncultured bacterium. RNAcentral's name for it is "partial 16S ribosomal RNA". It matches the Rfam family "Bacterial small subunit ribosomal RNA", at positions 30 to 507 of the family's 1533-position model. The record is from RNAcentral.
AUUGAACGCUGGCGGCAGGCCUAACACAUGCAAGUCGAGCGGAUGAAGGGAGCUUGCUCCUGGAUUCAGCGGCGGACGGGUGAGUAAUGCCUAGGAAUCUGCCUGGUCGUGGGGGAUAACGUCCGGAAACGGGCGCUAAUACCGCAUACGUCCUGAGGGAGAAAGAGGGGGAUCUUCGGACCUCACGCUAUCAUAUGAGCCUAGGUCGGAUUCGCUAGUUGGUGGGGUAAAGGCCUACCAAGGCGACGAUCCGUAACUGGUCUGAGAGGAUGAUCAGUCACACUGGAACUGAGACACGGUCCAGACUCCUACGGGAGGCAGCAGUGGGGAAUAUUGGACAAUGGGCGAAAGCCUGAUCCAGCCAUGCCGCGUGUGUGAAGAAGGUCUUCGGAUUGUAAAGCACUGUAAGUUGGGAGGAAGGGCAGUAAGUUAAUACCUUGCUGUUUUGACGUUACCAACAGAAUAAGCACCGGCUAACUUCGUG